AUUGAACGCUGGCGGCAGGCCUAACACAUGCAAGUCGAACGGUAACAGGAAGCAGCUUGCUGCUUUGCUGACGAGUGGCGGACGGGUGAGUAAUGUCUGGGAAACUGCCCGAUGGAGGGGGAUAACUACUGGAAACGGUAGCUAAUACCGCAUAACGUCGCAAGACCAAAGAGGGGGACCUUAGGGCCUCUUGCCAUCGGAUGUGCCCAGAUGGGAUUAGCUAGUAGGUGGGGUAACGGCUCACCUAGGCGACGAUCCCUAGCUGGUCUGAGAGGAUGACCAGCCACACUGGAACUGAGACACGGUCCAGACUCCUACGGGAGGCAGCAGUGGGGAAUAUUGCACAAUGGGCGCAAGCCUGAUGCAGCCAUGCCGCGUGUAUGAAGAAGGCCUUCGGGUUGUAAAGUACUUUCAGCGGGGAGGACGGGAGUAAAGUUAAUACCUUUGCUCAUUGACGUUACCCGCAGAAGAAGCACCGGCUAACUCCGUG
RNAcentral lists this ribosomal RNA (490 nucleotides) under uncultured bacterium. RNAcentral describes it as "partial 16S ribosomal RNA". It matches the Rfam family "Bacterial small subunit ribosomal RNA", at positions 30 to 507 of the family's 1533-position model. The record is from RNAcentral.